GGGGAUUUAGCUCAGUGGUAGAGCACUUGGCUAGAAAGCACAAGGCCCUGGGUUCGGUCCCCAGCUCCA
RNAcentral lists this transfer RNA (69 nucleotides) under Rattus norvegicus (Norway rat). It matches the Rfam family "tRNA". Rfam says of the family: Transfer RNA (tRNA) molecules are approximately 80 nucleotides in length. The record is from Rfam by way of RNAcentral. Lineage: Eukaryota; Metazoa; Chordata; Mammalia; Rodentia; Muridae.